This 934-nucleotide ribosomal RNA is filed under the name Salmonella enterica subsp. enterica serovar Anatum. RNAcentral describes it as "partial 23S ribosomal RNA". It matches the Rfam family "Bacterial large subunit ribosomal RNA", at positions 566 to 1405 of the family's 2925-position model. Lineage: Bacteria; Pseudomonadati; Pseudomonadota; Gammaproteobacteria; Enterobacterales; Enterobacteriaceae. The record is from RNAcentral.
GCCCAACACACAAAACAAGCGGUGAGUGCUUUGGGGUGGGGUGACUGCGUACCUUUUGUAUAAUGGGUCAGCGACUUAUAUUCUGUAGCAAGGUUAACCGUAUAGGGGAGCCGUAGGGAAACCGAGUCUUAACCGGGCGUUAAGUUGCAGGGUAUAGACCCGAAACCCGGUGAUCUAGCCAUGGGCAGGUUGAAGGUUGGGUAACACUAACUGGAGGACCGAACCGACUAAUGUUGAAAAAUUAGCGGAUGACCUGUGGCUGGGGGUGAAAGGCCAAUCAAACCGGGAGAUAGCUGGUUCUCCCCGAAAGCUAUUUAGGUAGCGCCUCGUGAAUUCAUCUCCGGGGGUAGAGCACUGUUUCGGCUAGGGGGCCAUCCCGGCUUACCAACCCGAUGCAAACUGCGAAUACCGGAGAAUGUUAUCACGGGAGACACACGGCGGGUGCUAACGUCCGUCGUGAAGAGGGAAACAACCCAGACCGCCAGCUAAGGUCCCAAAGUCAUGGUUAAGUGGGAAACGAUGUGGGAAGGCCCAGACAGCCAGGAUGUUGGCUUAGAAGCAGCCAUCAUUUAAAGAAAGCGUAAUAGCUCACUGGUCGAGUCGGCCUGCGCGGAAGAUGUAACGGGGCUAAACCAUGCACCGAAGCUGCGGCAGCGAACGUAUCACUUAAAGCGAUUCAGCGGGUUACGAUUGACGGAGCGAAGCGACGUCAAAGCGUAUACAAAGUCGAGUCGGUUUAAGGAUACGUUCGUUGGGUAGGGGAGCGUUCUGUAAGCCUGUGAAGGUGGCCUGUGAGGGUUGCUGGAGGUAUCAGAAGUGCGAAUGCUGACAUAAGUAACGAUAAAGCGGGUGAAAAGCCCGCUCGCCGGAAGACCAAGGGUUCCUGUCCAACGUUAAUCGGGGCAGGGUGAGUCGACCCCUAAGGCGAGGCCGA